This 218-nucleotide ribosomal RNA is filed under the name uncultured Burkholderia sp. RNAcentral's name for it is "partial 16S ribosomal RNA". It matches the Rfam family "Bacterial small subunit ribosomal RNA", at positions 347 to 559 of the family's 1533-position model. Lineage: Bacteria; Pseudomonadati; Pseudomonadota; Betaproteobacteria; Burkholderiales; Burkholderiaceae. The record is from RNAcentral.
GGCAGCAGUGGGGAAUUUUGACAAUGGGGGAAUCCCUGAUCCAGCAAUGCCGCGUGUGUGAAGAAGGCCUCCGGGUUGUUAAGCACUUAUGUCCGGAAAGAAAACCUUUGCACUAAUACAGUGAGGGGAUGACGGUACCGGAAGAAUAAGCACCGGCUAACUACGUGCCAGCAGCCGCGGUAAUACGUAGGGUGCGAGCGUUAAUCGGAUUACUGGGC